Molecule: ribosomal RNA, 387 nt
Filed under: uncultured bacterium
Lineage: Bacteria
Description: bacterial SSU rRNA
Rfam family: Bacterial small subunit ribosomal RNA
Source: RNAcentral
GACGAACGCUGGCGGCGUGCUUAACACAUGCAAGUCGAGCGGUAAGGCCCUUUCGGGGGUACACGAGCGGCGAACGGGUGAGUAACACGUGGGUGACCUGCCCUCAGCUCUGGGAUAAGCCUGGGAAACUGGGUCUAAUACUGGAUAUGACUCCACGGUGCAUGUCGUGGGGUGGAAAGCCUUGUGCGGCUGAGGAUGGGCCCGCGGCCUAUCAGCUUGUUGGUGGGGUGANGGCCUACCAAGGCGACGACGGGUAGCCGGCCUGAGAGGGCGACCGGCCACACUGGGACUGGGACACGGCCCAGACUCCUACGGGAGGCAGCAGGUGGGGAAUCUUGCGCAAGUGGGCGAAAGCCUGACGCAGCGACGCCGCGUGAGGGAUGACGG